GACGAACGCUGGCGGCGUGCCUAAUACAUGCAAGUAGAACGCUGAAGGAGGAGCUUGCUUCUCUGGAUGAGUUGCGAACGGGUGAGUAACGCGUAGGUAACCUGCCUGGUAGCGGGGGAUAACUAUUGGAAACGAUAGCUAAUACCGCAUAAUAGUAGAUGUUGCAUGACAUUUACUUAAAAGGUGCAAUUGCAUCACUACCAGAUGGACCUGCGUUGUAUUUGCUAGUUGGUGGGGUAACGGCCCACCAAGGCGAAGGAACAUAACCGACCGGGGAAGGUGAUCCGCCAACCUGGGACUGGGACCCGGCCCAAAACUCUACGGGAAGGAGCAGUAGGGAAUCUUCGGCAAUGGAGGAAAGUCUUACCGAGCAACGCCGGGUGAGUGAAGAAGGUUUUCGGAUCGUAAAGCUCUGUUGUAAGAGAAGAACGAGUGUGAGAGUAGAAAGUUCACGCUGUGACGGUACCUUACCAGAAAGGAACGGCUAACUACGUG
RNAcentral lists this ribosomal RNA (495 nucleotides) under uncultured bacterium. RNAcentral describes it as "partial 16S ribosomal RNA". It matches the Rfam family "Bacterial small subunit ribosomal RNA", at positions 28 to 507 of the family's 1533-position model. The record is from RNAcentral.